This 582-nucleotide ribosomal RNA is filed under the name uncultured bacterium. RNAcentral's name for it is "bacterial SSU rRNA". It matches the Rfam family "Bacterial small subunit ribosomal RNA", at positions 341 to 914 of the family's 1533-position model. The record is from RNAcentral.
ACGGGAGGCAGCAGUAGGGAAUCUUCCACAAUGGGCGAAAGCCUGAUGGAGCAACGCCGCGUGAGUGAAGAAGGAUUUCGGUUCGUAAAACUCUGUUGUAAGGGAAGAACAAGUACAGUAGUAACUGGCUGUACCUUGACGGUACCUUAUUAGAAAGCCACAGCUAACUACGUGCCAGCAGCCGCGGUAAUACGUAGGUGGCAAGCGUUGUCCGGAAUUAUUGGGCGUAAAGCGCGCGCAGGUGGUUUCUUAAGUCUGAUGUGAAAGCCCACGGCUCAACCGUGGAGGGUCAUUGGAUACUGGGAGACUUGAGUGCAGAAGAGGAUAGUGGAAUUCCAAGUGUAGCGGUGAAAUGCGUAGAGAUUUGGAGGAACACCAGUGGCGAAGGCGACUAUCUGGUCUGUAACUGACACUGAGGCGCGAAAGCGUGGGGAGCAAACAGGAUUAGAUACCCUGGUAGUCCACGCCGUAAACGAUGAGUGCUAAGUGUUAGGGGGUUUCCGCCCCUUAGUGCUGCAGCUAACGCAUUAAGCACUCCGCCUGGGGAGUACGGUCGCAAGACUGAAACUCAAAGGAAUUGAC